CAUGCAAGUCGAGGGGAAACGACAUCGAAAGCUUGCUUUUGAUGGGCGUCGACCGGCGCACGGGUGAGUAACGCGUAUCCAACCUGCCCACCACUUGGGGAUAACCUUGCGAAAGUAAGACUAAUACCCAAUGACGUCUCUAGAAGACAUCUGAAGGAGAUUAAAGAUUUAUCGGUGAUGGAUGGGGAUGCGUCUGAUUAGCUUGUUGGCGGGGUAACGGCCCACCAAGGCGACGAUCAGUAGGGGUUCUGAGAGGAAGGUCCCCCACAUUGGAACCGAGACACGGUCCAAACUCCUACGGGAGGCAGCAGUGAGGAAUAUUGGUCAAUGGACGAGAGUCUGAACCAGCCAAGUAGCGUGCAGGAUGACGGCCCUAUGGGUUGUAAACUGCUUUUAUAAGGGAAUAAAGUGAGUCUCGUGAGACUUUUUGCAUGUACCUUAUGAAUAAGGACCGGCUAAUUCCGUGCCAGCAGCCGCGGUAAUACGGAAGGUCCGGGCGUUAUCCGGAUUUAUUGGGUUUAAAGGGAGCGUAGGCCGGAGAUUAAGCGUGUCGUGAAAUGUAGAUGCUCAACAUCUGCACUGCAGCGCGAACUGGUUUCCUUGAGUACGCACAAAGUGGGCGGAAUUCGUGGUGUAGCGGUGAAAUGCUUAGAUAUCACGAAGAACUCCGAUUGCGAAGGCAGCUCACUGGAGCGCAACUGACGCUGAAGCUCGAAAGUGCGGGUAUCGAACAGGAUUAGAUACCCUGGUAGUCCGCACGGUAAACGAUGGAUGCCCGCUGUUGGUCUGAAUAGGUCAGCGGCCAAGCGAAAGCAUUAAGCAUCCCACCUGGGGAGUACGCCGGCAACGGUGAAACUCAAAGGAAUUGACGGGGGCCCGCACAAGCGGAGGAACAUGUGGUUUAAUUCG
Molecule: ribosomal RNA, 909 nt
Filed under: uncultured bacterium
Lineage: Bacteria
Description: bacterial SSU rRNA
Rfam family: Bacterial small subunit ribosomal RNA
Source: RNAcentral